This 89-nucleotide transfer-messenger RNA is filed under the name Planctomycetota bacterium. Its description in RNAcentral is "Planctomycetes bacterium (hot springs metagenome) partial transfer-messenger RNA". It matches the Rfam family "transfer-messenger RNA", at positions 284 to 374 of the family's 374-position model. From Rfam's summary of the family: Bacterial tmRNA, also known as 10Sa RNA or SsrA, is named for its dual tRNA and mRNA-like properties. Its role is to liberate the mRNA from a stalled ribosome. The record is from RNAcentral. Lineage: Bacteria; Pseudomonadati; Planctomycetota.
GGCUCGCGAGACGAAAAGCGCCGGCUAAGCUUGUAGAGACUCCGCCAGGGCUUCCGUGGACGCGGGUUCGAAUCCCGCCGCCUCCACCA